GCUUAAGAACAGUCCUUAGCCGUGGUAUAUUGGCCAUAUACCACAACUCCUCGGGCCUUAUUGCUUAAAUAACAGUAGAGUAAGUGUACAUUUUGCAUAUGAAAGAUUGCUUUAUGUUUAUAGAACCGUACCGCAAUUUAGAUGGAGUAUUUGGCUGCCUGAGACAAUUUGCCUGUUCUAAACCAAAUAAGGGCGUGGGGUUUACUUGGUCUGGUCAUGUGGUCAGGAAAAAWUCCUGGCCCUAGGCAUAGUACAUGUGUAUCAAUGCGAUGAAAAMACUAUUGACGGCAUUAUGUUUGUAAGUUAUCAUGCCUGAUAGCUAAAAGUAAGAACUGCCCUUGUUUCAUUCCUCAGUGCAGUCAGCCCUCCUAUUUKUAUAGAGCUUUCACUUUGUAAAUAUGUAAUUGAAUAAAAUAUUCGGUCUAUUGUAAGUGUGUAGUGUAUCAUAUUUCAAAUGAACUUCAACCGAAUGAGCUUCACAUUCCUUUUCAGGGACAACUUCCAUUGGUUUUGUAUUAGACAAUUCCAUGCACUUAUGCAUUCUGCCCUAUUGGUGGCAGUAUUGGAUUUUUGAUCCUAUGAAGCUGAAAUAAUUUAAUUAGAAGUAGGGGCCUCAAACGAGUUUAUUGUUUGAUCAGUUGUAACAAAUGUAACCAUAUACAAUAGUAUUUCCAAGUCAAAGCACUCAGACUUCUCUGACUCUGGUUGUGUGCAUGCAAGUUGUUUGAACCCUCAAGAUCCAGAAUGAGACGGCGAACACAAAGGCCUGCGCGAGGGUAGCAUUAGCGCAGAAGGGGCAGACUGGAGUGAACCUGGAGUAUCAGCCCAGCUCAGGCACCUUGGCAGAAUGUACCCAAUGGAUCCAGAGACAUGCAGUCACCAGAGGGAGUAUGGAUAACCAGAGACAUGCAGUCACCAGAGGGAGUAUGGAUAACCAGAGACAUGCAGUCACCAGAGGGAGUAUGGAGAACCAGAGACAUGCAGUCACCAGAGGGAGUAUGGAGAACAGAACUCAGGGCAAUGAGACAAUGGCCAGGCUAUGCCCCGAGAGCCUUACAGUGAAUACUCCAGCAUGAGGAGGACUAGAGAAGGUGGGAAGGAGUAUGGUGCUUCCUCUSCUAUGAGCUACAUCAUGGACCCAUCAUCCAGAGACUGGAGCAAAGGCUCAUUGAGGGGUAGAGGUGCUCCCUUCUCCCCAGACACAGAUGGGGACGUUGAUGGAGAUCCUGUGGAGCUCAGUGGGGAGGACCUGGAGCUCCUUUGUAAGAGGAUGGAGCUGGAGAUCAUAGAGGAACAGAUUGCCAGCAAAAAAAGCUGCUCUUGCUAUGGAAACGUUUGGGCCUGAAUCAAAGGCCAUCCGUAAACAGAAGACGAAGGACAAGGAUUUUUWUUUUUUUUWAUCCAAUAAGAAUGUUACUCUUAAAGAGAGGGUGAAUAGCAUUUUGAGAAAGCGGGCAUGGACCAAUGAAUGUCGCUCAAAUGUAUGUGCUUGUUACAUCUGUAUUUAUGAAUAGAUUUAUUUCCUGAUGUUUGGAUGCACUGUUCUMUUCCAUUACAUAGACUAAGGAGAGGCAGUAGAAUAACCCCCAAGUGCAGAUCUAGAAUCAAUUACCCAUAAACCUGUCCCAUUAACCAUUUAAAGGUAAAAAAUACUAAACUGACCUUGUCAGGGACAACGUAGGCUUGAUCAGCAUCAUAAAUCUUCAAAUUAUUUCUUAAUUCUUUAUUGUAUGUCCCUUUCAGGAAAUUUGUCUUAUCGCAAACUCAACAGCACAACUUCACCACAUAUACAUAAAUACAAUAGGGAUGUGCUUCUUUCCCUUUCAAGAUGAUUCGAUAGGUAUCUAGAUACAUGGGCUCUGAUAUGAUACGGGAACGAUAUGUUUUAGUUUGAAAUGAUUCGUUUUGGUUAGAGAAUUAAUAYAUUUGGUUUGAUACACUCA
This is a non-coding RNA of Salvelinus sp. IW2-2015, 1943 nucleotides long. NCBI's taxonomy places the organism in Eukaryota, Metazoa, Chordata, Actinopteri, Salmoniformes, Salmonidae. The record is from RefSeq and is a predicted model, not a curated record.